UCCUGGUCCGGUAGUGCUACCAUACCCGGGGCGCUGUGGUGUUGGCGGGUGCGGACACCAAUCCACAAAUAUGAAUAAAAAUGAAGCCGCCGUUAACCCAGUCAUUUCGGUUGCUUAGAUCAAGAAGAUAUCGUCACUGCUGGACGGUCAGCGUAGUCAAAAAAAGCACAUUGUCAUUGCUGUAACACAGUGACUUUAUCGUUUUAAUAAAGAAUCAUCAAAGAA
This 225-nucleotide long non-coding RNA is filed under the name Penaeus japonicus. Its description in RNAcentral is "uncharacterized LOC122263218". The record is from RNAcentral. Lineage: Eukaryota; Metazoa; Arthropoda; Malacostraca; Decapoda; Penaeidae.